UCAAGCGUUGUUCGGAUUCAUUGGGCGGAAAGGGUGCGUAGGCGGCGCGGUAAGUCGGGUGUGAAAUCUUGGAGCUUAACUCCGAAACUGCAUUCGAUACUGCCGUGCUUGAGGACUGGAGAGGAGACUGGAAUUUACGGUGUAGCGGUGAAAUGCGUAGAUAUCGGGAAGAACACCCGUGGCGAAGUCGGUUCUCUGGGACGGUACUGACGCUGAGACGCGAAAGCGUGGGGAGCGAACAGG
Molecule: ribosomal RNA, 243 nt
Filed under: uncultured bacterium
Lineage: Bacteria
Description: partial 16S ribosomal RNA
Rfam family: Bacterial small subunit ribosomal RNA
Source: RNAcentral